RNAcentral lists this ribosomal RNA (465 nucleotides) under Vreelandella stevensii. Its description in RNAcentral is "partial 16S ribosomal RNA". It matches the Rfam family "Bacterial small subunit ribosomal RNA", at positions 338 to 795 of the family's 1533-position model. Lineage: Bacteria; Pseudomonadati; Pseudomonadota; Gammaproteobacteria; Oceanospirillales; Halomonadaceae. The record is from RNAcentral.
CCUACGGUGCGCUGCAGUGGGGAAUAUUGGACAAUGGGCGAAAGCCUGAUCCAGCCAUGCCGCGUGUGUGAAGAAGGCCUUCGGGUUGUAAAGCACUUUCAGUGGGGAAGAAAGCCUUGGGGCUAAUACCCUCGAGGAAGGACAUCACCCACAGAAGAAGCACCGGCUAACUCCGUGCCAGCAGCCGCGGUAAUACGGAGGGUGCGAGCGUUAAUCGGAAUUACUGGGCGUAAAGCGCGCGUAGGCGGUCUGAUAAGCCGGUUGUGAAAGCCCCGGGCUCAACCUGGGAACGGCAUCCGGAACUGUCAGGCUAGAGUGCAGGAGAGGAAGGUAGAAUUCCCGGUGUAGCGGUGAAAUGCGUAGAGAUCGGGAGGAAUACCAGUGGCGAAGGCGGCCUUCUGGACUGACACUGACGCUGAGGUGCGAAAGCGUGGGUAGCAAACAGGAUUAGAUACCCGGGUAGUC